AUUGAACGCUGGCGGCAGGCUUAACACAUGCAAGUCGAGCGGGGUGAUGGUGCUUGCACUAUCACCUAGCGGCGGACGGGUGAGUAAUGCUUAGGAAUCUGCCUAUUAGUGGGGGACAACAUCUCGAAAGGGAUGCUAAUACCGCAUACGUCCUACGGGAGAAAGCAGGGGAUCACUUGUGACCUUGCGCUAAUAGAUGAGCCUAAGUCGGAGUAGCUAGUUGGUGGGGUAAAGGCCUACCAAGGCGACGAUCUGUAGCGGGUCUGAGAGGAUGAUCCGCCACACUGGGACUGGGGCACGGCCCAGAAUCCUACGGGAGGCAGCGGUGGGGAAUAUUUGACAAUGGGGGGAACCCUGAUCCAGCCAUGCCGCGUGUGUGAAGAAGGCCUUAUGGUUGUAAAGCACUUUAAGCGAGGAGGAGGCUCUUUUGGUUAAUACCCAAGAUGAGUGGACGUUACUCGCAGAAUAAGCACCGGCUAACUCUGUGCCAGCAGCCGCGGUAA
RNAcentral lists this ribosomal RNA (503 nucleotides) under uncultured bacterium. Its description in RNAcentral is "partial 16S ribosomal RNA". It matches the Rfam family "Bacterial small subunit ribosomal RNA", at positions 30 to 523 of the family's 1533-position model. The record is from RNAcentral.